CCUGUCCCUGUCGUUGGGAGGGGUCUCUUCUCCGCAGCAGCAAGGAGGCGUUGGGGAUCAGGCCGCAUUCCUGCAGGCUCCUGGAGUUGUCUGCGUACACCCUCUGGGGAAAGGAGGAUUUAAUGAUGAGAGGACAUCGUGUGUGCUGCCUGGCUCCUGAAGCAACACCAGGGCUACAAGUGCAGGGCUCUGAUGCAGAAGUGUUGCCUUCCUCUCUGAGACCCUACACAUUCCCUCCCCACCAGCUGGACUGCCCUGCACUUCAGCUGCUGCACAUACUACUUCUUCUCUACAAAGCCUGCCAUGCUUUUAGAAGUCUUCUUUCAAGCCAAGAUUCACUGAGGCAGAGAAAGAAUUUAGUCCUGAUGCUGAAACACUCGUUUACUUCCUGUAACGGCUCUAGCAGGUGUGCUCCCUGCCACCCUUUCCCCAAGACCCACAUGCACAGAAUUAAGCUGCAUAUAUGCUGUGUUCAGAAACCUCAAACUUCAUCUGCUGUGGGGAGCAUCCAGCAGAAGCCAUUGCCAAAUAUGCUUGGACCCCAUACAGCACAAUCGGGUCUCAAUUAAACCACUCACGUGGUGGCUGGGAGGAAAAGCAAACAAAGCUCUCUGAUGAAGCCAGACAACAUGGAGGGGAGAGGUGAAGAAUUGUGAUGAUCAAAGCAGCAGCUUAAAAAAGACCAAGCAGCCUGAGACUGCAACAGUCUCAAACCAAAGGUGCAGAUGGCUUAGGGCAGGUGAAGCAGGUGUCUCACCUCCAUCUCCCAGACCUGGGUCUGCAGCUGAAGGCACCUAAUUUCCAGUUCCUCUGCUGUGGGUGGGUCAGGAGCAUCUGAAAGGAAAGACUUGGUUUUUCUAUGUACAGCCUUAAAGAAGGGCUAUAGGUAACCCAUGUCACACAGCACAGGUGCCCCAGCAGUACCUGCCUGCACCCCAAAGUGAACUCAAGCCCACACGACACAGGAGCUCUGCAUGCUGGUCCCUGAAAUUCAACCUGCAGCACCUUGAUAGAGAUGCUGACAGAAUAAAAGAUAGUUGUGAAUGAUUCCGGUGAGUUUUAUGCUGUGGGAAGCUGAUGUGAGCAGUGCUGUUCAUAAUUAUACAAUGAGAAUUGCUUGGCUUAGUCUUAAGGGACCCAUUAAAAAAAUGAGCAGGUGUCCACUAAAGCUGGAUCAAGAAAUCUAGGCUGUGUGGCUAGAACCGUGCAUGAUGAGGCACAAAGCACAUGUUUGUGGUUUGACAGGCAUAUUCUUGUUCUCUGCUCAGGAAAUUGAGAACUUACCACAGCUUUGUGCUAACAAGGUAGUUCAGCCAUGGUAGGAAACGUGUCUGGGCUCCGCUGGAGAGCUGCUGGAUUCCAGGGAACUGAGUCGGGGGAAGGACCUUCAGUGACUCACUCAAAGCUGGGUUCAGUUUAGAGUUAGGCUGCCUUACAGGACAAGUGAGCCUGGACCUGUAAGGCUGUUCGAGACUCCAAGUAGAUUUUUGGUUUCACUUAGCUGUGAGUGGCUGUUUUUCCAGUCUGUUUGAAGUCUGCAGACCAUCCCCAGGUAUCUGUGUGGUUGGUCUAUGCUCGUGGAAACUUAGUAACUAUAGAAAAUAGGUCAGGAAAUAAUGUUUUGUGCUGCACCAAAGAGCCCAGCAACAGAUUCAAGAAGAAAGUACAGAUCUGCCUUGGCAAACCGUGCCUCGUGUUAGUAACUGAUACCACUCCCUGCAGAGGCUCUUGGGCUUUAGGGCGAGGGUGGCUCAGCGAGGAGGUCUCCAAGGCUGCUCUGUGGCUGUGCCAGGAGCUCUGGAGCUCUCCCACAGGUGCCAAGAGUAGAACAAUUUUUACCUUCUCCUUUCUGAAGGGUCUUCAUCUUCUCUUCGAGUUCAGCAAUCCUCCUGUCCUUCAGGACCAGAACAAAUAAUGACUUUGUUUAGUUCCUUGGCCUUCAGGACCUUGAGGCACAGUAUGCACAAUCAGUCCUGGCAAGGUGAGUCAGUGGUGUGUGUAUUCUCACCGGCUCAGAGACAAAAUAAGGGUCGCAAAGGCUGUAUCACCUCACGAAUACCUUGAUUAGACUCAAAUGAGGGGUGAGAUAUAAAUACACGGCU
Athene cunicularia (burrowing owl) is the source of this 2102-nucleotide long non-coding RNA. RefSeq lists it as uncharacterized. The transcript is spliced from 5 exons. The record is from RefSeq and is a predicted model, not a curated record. NCBI's taxonomy places the organism in Eukaryota, Metazoa, Chordata, Aves, Strigiformes, Strigidae.